AGCGAACGCUGGCGGCAGGCCUAACACAUGCAAGUCGAACGAACCUUUCGGGGUUAGUGGCGGACGGGUGAGUAACACGUGGGAACGUGCCUUUAGGUUCGGAAUAACUCAGGGAAACUUGUGCUAAUACCGAAUGUGCCCUUCGGGGGAAAGAUUAAUCGCCUUUAGAGCGGCCCGCGUCUGAUUAGCUAGUUGGUUGAGGUAAUGGCUCACCAAGGCGACGAUCAGUAGCUGGUCUGAGAGGAUGAUCAGCCACAUUGGGACUGAGACACGGCCCAAACUCCUACGGGAGGCAGCAGUGGGGAAUCUUGCGCAAUGGGCGAAAGCCUGACGCACCCAUGCCGCGUGAAUGAUGAAGGUCUUAGGAUUGUAAAAUUCUUUCACCGGGGACGAUAAUGACGGUACCCGGAGAAGAAGCCCCGGCUAACUUCGU
RNAcentral lists this ribosomal RNA (433 nucleotides) under uncultured bacterium. RNAcentral describes it as "partial 16S ribosomal RNA". It matches the Rfam family "Bacterial small subunit ribosomal RNA", at positions 29 to 506 of the family's 1533-position model. The record is from RNAcentral.